UAACCUGCUAAAUAGAUGUCGUAUUUACGAAUAUUGCAUCUUCUUAGAGGGACAAACUACUUUUUAGUGGUUGGAAGUUUGAGGCAAUAACAGGUCUGUGAUGCCCUUAGAUGUUCUGGGCCGCACGCGCGCUACACUGAUAAAGGCAGCGAGUUUAUAACCUUAUUCGGAAGAAUUGGGGAAUCUUGUGAAGCUUUAUCGUGAUGGGGAUAGACCAUUGCAAUUAUUGGUCUUCAACGAGGAAUUCCUAGUAAGCGCAAGUCAUCAGCUUGCGUUGAUUACGUCCCUGCCCUUUGUACACACCGCCCGUCGUU
RNAcentral lists this ribosomal RNA (314 nucleotides) under uncultured fungus. RNAcentral describes it as "bacterial SSU rRNA". It matches the Rfam family "Eukaryotic small subunit ribosomal RNA", at positions 1344 to 1680 of the family's 1831-position model. Lineage: Eukaryota; Fungi. The record is from RNAcentral.